This 24-nucleotide non-coding RNA is filed under the name Arabidopsis thaliana (thale cress). Lineage: Eukaryota; Viridiplantae; Streptophyta; Magnoliopsida; Brassicales; Brassicaceae. The record is from RNAcentral.
CGGUCAGCCUCAGUAGAAAUGCAC